CCGGAAGCAGCGGGUUGAGGAGAGUGCGCAAGGGAAUACGAAGUCAAAGCAGAAGAGUUUCAAGAAGAAGGAGUACUCAACAGCAUCAAGGAAACAAGUGAGUGAGAGAAAGUCCAGCUACUUCAUUAUACGAGACAGGGCAGAAAAUUGCCUUAGAAAUACUGAGGAAUUCUUUUGGAAAAGUUACCUUGGAAACUCUGAGAUUGGCCCCAGUGGUCCAGAAAGAAGUUAGUUGCCAAGGGCUCAUGAGAUUACACAGAGCUAACUUUAAGUAAAACUCCAAGAGGCAUCGACAAGCAAUAACAAAGACAAACUAGGUAAUCAUACUCCAGUAUGGUAUUAGAAGAUAUUUAACAACCCCCACACUCUUUGGGGUGAGUAUGACCCUGAGAUGCUUGGUUAAUUCUGGAGCAGAACAAAGAGAAGUGUCCCAAGGAAGAUCCUUGACUAUCAACUCAAUGCAGCAGAUGAAAGUGACCCUCUCCCUACCAGUGUCUGUCCAUAAAUCACAGGAUGUGAUGCCCAAAGCUGCCUACACAUUUCUUCCAGAGGACGUAUGUUUUCUUCUCAAGAUAUAAGCCCUGGGUCUGGGGGCUUGGGGUGCGGCGAUCUACCUAUCUCGUGUAUGCCCAAAACCACACUUCUGUCUGUAAGUUCCCACAAUAAAUUACCCAAAACCAACAAA
Non-coding RNA from Callithrix jacchus (white-tufted-ear marmoset), 685 nucleotides. NCBI's taxonomy places the organism in Eukaryota, Metazoa, Chordata, Mammalia, Primates, Cebidae. The record is from RefSeq and is a predicted model, not a curated record.